RNAcentral lists this transfer RNA (91 nucleotides) under [Eubacterium] saphenum. RNAcentral's name for it is "Selenocysteine transfer RNA". It matches the Rfam family "Selenocysteine transfer RNA". The record is from RNAcentral. Lineage: Bacteria; Bacillati; Bacillota; Clostridia; Peptostreptococcales; Anaerovoracaceae. RNAcentral also lists the same sequence under 1 other name.
GGGUAGAUAGGUGCUGGUGUGCCUCUUGGUCUUCAAAACCAAUGUGAGGGGUUAGGAGCCUCUCGGGUGGGUUCAAUUCCCACAUACUCCC